AUUCUCAUAGUUUAUAUUAAAACAUUACACUGAAAAUGUAAAGAAAAAUUUUUUUUGAGAAUA
RNAcentral lists this transfer RNA (63 nucleotides) under Haemaphysalis inermis. Its description in RNAcentral is "tRNA-Phe". Lineage: Eukaryota; Metazoa; Arthropoda; Arachnida; Ixodida; Ixodidae. The record is from RNAcentral.